GUCAGGAUUGCUCAGUUGGUAGAGCAAAGGAUCCAUAAUCCUCUGGUCACCAGUUCGAAUCUGGUUCCUGGCA
Molecule: non-coding RNA, 73 nt
Organism: Spinacia oleracea (spinach)
Lineage: Eukaryota; Viridiplantae; Streptophyta; Magnoliopsida; Caryophyllales; Amaranthaceae
Source: Rfam